AGAAAGGGCAUGUCCAAAUUGAUAUAGGCAGCUGGGCUUGAAACCCCUACACUUGCACAAAAAAAUAACAAAAAACUCAAACCUCCUCACUCUCUCUCUCUCGACAGUGUCUCCCCAAAACCAACACCUACAGCCAUCACCGCCUACACUUCAAAUCCAUCGGAUCCAAGACCUCUGUUCUACAUCGACACCAAAUCCAUCAGAUCCAAAACCUAGACCUCUUUCCUCUCUCCCUCUUAUCUUCCACAUCUAUACCCCAAAUCCAUCUCUCCGACAACCAAACCGGUUUCCACAUCAACCUAAUCUGCGAGGAGCCUCUCCUGCCUCUAUGAUAACGUCGUCACCGUCCAAACUCUCUUGGCUCAAAUCAAGCCUUCUCUUUCCAACACCGUUGGAGGACCAAGAGGGAGGUCAUCGAGAAGCAGGUCAUCGGGCUCAAAUAUUGGAGGGUCCGAAGAUCAGAAUCGGAGCUCUGGUAGACGACGGAGGUGCAACCUGCUGCGUUGGGAGUAGCGGAGGAGCUCCAGUCAGGAAGGACUUGGUGUUCUAGCCUUUAUCAAUGGACUCCCAGAGGCUCUGGUGCUAGAAGCUACUUGAAUUCAUUGAUUCUCUCAGACGGCCAAAGAGGCUGUUUGUUUUUGUGAAUUUGUUUGGAGGGAGCAAAUCGGCUUCGAAGAUUUUUGUUGAUGAAGUGAAGCCGCUUUUUGAUGAUGCUGGUGUUCAGUUUACACUGCAAGGCAAGUACAGAAAGAAUACCAAAAUUGUUGGAGUAUGGUUCAUGUAUGACUCAUCUAGCCUUCCUUGGCAUUCUUAGGGUCUUAACGAGAUAUCUACUGCAAAAAUUGGUUGGCCCUGGAGUUGCUGGUAUGACCAGUGACAAACAAUGCUUUACGUUGAUCUUCCUUCUAAUAUGGUAUCUCAACCCCCCAACCCACACACACAAAGUUACCCAAGCAAAUGUAGUUGGAUCGUUCUUGAUGGGGUGGUGCGGUGUUGUUUUCAAACCAGAUAUCAUAUAGGUUUACAUAAUUGGAGGUGAUGGAAAUCAGAAAGGAGCAUCUGUGAUAUUUGAGGGAGCAGGAUAGGAUCUUAGUUCAGAGAGCUUGCAAUCCUACAGAAUUAGUGUUUGGAAGCUUCCAAAAGCUAGACUCCAAUGAGGCCAUGAGAGCAGCAAAGCUUGCAAAGCUAGAUUCUUUUAAGUAAAUUUCUGGAUGUACUAGGAGAGUACGAUUAGACGUACUCCUUUUGUGGAUAAAAAAUUACCACAGCACAAUCCAUUUUGGUGCAUGUGGAUUAUAACAAUUUCUUCUAUAUAUUGAUCAGUAACUCUUAAUUUGGUCA
Rosa chinensis is the source of this 1341-nucleotide long non-coding RNA. RefSeq lists it as uncharacterized. The transcript has 7 exons. The record is from RefSeq and is a predicted model, not a curated record. Lineage: Eukaryota; Viridiplantae; Streptophyta; Magnoliopsida; Rosales; Rosaceae.